Acanthopagrus latus (yellowfin seabream) is the source of this 1367-nucleotide long non-coding RNA. RefSeq lists it as uncharacterized. Lineage: Eukaryota; Metazoa; Chordata; Actinopteri; Spariformes; Sparidae. The record is from RefSeq and is a predicted model, not a curated record. The transcript has 2 exons.
CCAGUAAAUACGUAAACUGACAGUUAGCUAAUUUUCAAUUAUUGGCUAAAAUCAGCCCAUUGCAGCGGCGUCCACCAGGUGAUAUGGCUCUGGUUCAGGCUAUUACUAUUUCGAUGUGUGUGCAACACUUCUUUGAAAAUGCCUGAGCGUGCAGGUUAACCAGACGUCACACCGUUGUGACGCGCCGACUUCUGUUUGCAGUCGGUACGUAACGUCACAUUGGACCAGUGGUCACAGACACUCUGGACUGAGUCCAUCCUGAUCUGCACUGUCGGGUUCACAGAGUUUGUAUUUGGGCUGUAACGUGUUAAAUGUGCAGUCAGAAUGGACCUACAGCUUUAAAUUGGAUCAUAAAAUAUGUUCGGGUUAUAAAAACACGUUUGUACGACUACAGCCUGAAACAUCCUGGAACAUAAGUCGAGUCAAUAAACCUGCCGACCCUGAAAACGACAUAUUGUGUACUGGAGGCUCACGAGGCGUCUGUGGAUUAUUACUGCUGACAUGUUCUCAGUGUUUGGAGCAAAACAAGCAAAAUCUAAUUGACCUCCACCGUGCUGGAUGGAAAAAUAAACCUGUUAUGUUCACAUUUAUUAAACGGUACCACGAGAGAGAAGUAGUGUGUUAGCUUAUUAACUAUUCAGGUGAACUGACUCUGUGAAGAAAAACUCACAAGAUGUCAGAGGACAGAAUAUCAGCCUUUACCAGCCGCUCCUGCAGCUGACAGUUCAGCAUCUUAUUCAUUAAGAUCAUGAGGUCGUCUUCCCAUGAGUCUCUGCUCAGCAUCAGAAGGUCGUACGCCCACUUUAAUCUCCUCUCGAUGUGAAGUGCUGCUGUCAUCUCCUCUGCUGCUCUGAUCGCUCACUCGUUACCGCCGUCCCUCGACUCCAACAACACGUGUGCGCAUGUUUUACUUUCCCUCCUCGUGUUGCUUGUGUUUCGGCCUCCUCUCCAGGCUCUCCUUCAGCCCCUCGGCAGCCGGCUGUUCUGGCGCUCUGAGUGUCUCCUCCAGCUGUCGGAGCUCCAGACUCGUGCAGAGAGCUCUUCAUGCGGUUCUGAAGAGGCCCGGAGGUUACACAAACCACGGCAGGAAGCUGCGAGUAGUGAUGCAGUCGAGGACACCUGAGGGCUGAACUGGAGAACACACCCGGCUCUUCAUCCAGACCGUCUCUGAGACAACACGUCUUCUCCGGACCUGAAUCAAGUGGUUUUGGUUCUUGGAGCCAAACCAAAUGGCUCCUACAUGGAGUGUGUUAUAAUGUAGCAGGCGUUUCCUGUAGUGAUGUUUCCACAUGUACUUGAGACUGUCAGAUGCCAAGUUGCAUUCUGGGUAGUGAGUGGAAUAAAGGAGAUUGAUUCUGAUUCUUCUG